Molecule: transfer RNA, 73 nt
Filed under: Stegodyphus mimosarum
Lineage: Eukaryota; Metazoa; Arthropoda; Arachnida; Araneae; Eresidae
Rfam family: tRNA
About the family: Transfer RNA (tRNA) molecules are approximately 80 nucleotides in length. Their secondary structure includes four short double-helical elements and three loops (D, anti-codon, and T loops).
Source: Rfam by way of RNAcentral
GCCUUCAUGGUGUAAUUGGAAGCAUACUUGACGCUUAUUCGAGAGGUCCUGGGUUCGAAUCCCGGCGAGUGCA